RNAcentral lists this transfer RNA (74 nucleotides) under Candidatus Chisholmbacteria bacterium RIFCSPHIGHO2_01_FULL_48_12. RNAcentral's name for it is "tRNA-Arg". It matches the Rfam family "tRNA". Rfam says of the family: Transfer RNA (tRNA) molecules are approximately 80 nucleotides in length. Lineage: Bacteria; Candidatus Chisholmiibacteriota. The record is from RNAcentral.
GCUCCCGUAGCUCAAUGGACAGAGCAGUUCCCUUCUAAGGAAAAGGUUUGGGUGUUCGACUCACCCCGGGAGCG